This 715-nucleotide ribosomal RNA is filed under the name Bacillus sp. FJAT-4610. Its description in RNAcentral is "bacterial SSU rRNA". It matches the Rfam family "Bacterial small subunit ribosomal RNA", at positions 61 to 756 of the family's 1533-position model. Lineage: Bacteria; Bacillati; Bacillota; Bacilli; Caryophanales; Bacillaceae. The record is from RNAcentral.
GUCGAGCGAAUGGAUUAAGAGCUUGCUCUUAUGAAGUUAGCGGCGGACGGGUGAGUAACACGUGGGUAACCUGCCCAUAAGACUGGGAUAACUCCGGGAAACCGGGGCUAAUACCGGAUAACAUUUUGAACUGCAUGGUUCGAAAUUGAAAGGCGGCUUCGGCUGUCACUUAUGGAUGGACCCGCGUCGCAUUAGCUAGUUGGUGAGGUAACGGCUCACCAAGGCAACGAUGCGUAGCCGACCUGAGAGGGUGAUCGGCCACACUGGGACUGAGACACGGCCCAGACUCCUACGGGAGGCAGCAGUAGGGAAUCUUCCGCAAUGGACGAAAGUCUGACGGAGCAACGCCGCGUGAGUGAUGAAGGCUUUCGGGUCGUAAAACUCUGUUGUUAGGGAAGAACAAGUGCUAGUUGAAUAAGCUGGCACCUUGACGGUACCUAACCAGAAAGCCACGGCUAACUACGUGCCAGCAGCCGCGGUAAUACGUAGGUGGCAAGCGUUAUCCGGAAUUAUUGGGCGUAAAGCGCGCGCAGGUGGUUUCUUAAGUCUGAUGUGAAAGCCCACGGCUCAACCGUGGAGGGUCAUUGGAAACUGGGAGACUUGAGUGCAGAAGAGGAAAGUGGAAUUCCAUGUGUAGCGGUGAAAUGCGUAGAGAUAUGGAGGAACACCAGUGGCGAAGGCGACUUUCUGGUCUGUAACUGACACUGAGGCGCGA